GAGGGGGAUAACACUUGGAAACAGGUGCUAAUACCGCAUAACCAUAGUUACCGCAUGGUAACUAUGUAAAAGGUGGCUAUGCUACCGCUUUUGGAUGGGCCCGCGACGCAUUAGCUAGUUGGUGGGGUAAAGGCUUACCAAGGCAAUGAUGCGUAGCCGAACUGAGAGGUUGAUCGGCCACAUUGGGACUGAGACACGGCCCAAACUCCUACGGGAGGCAGCAGUAGGGAAUCUUCCACAAUGGGCGAAAGCCUGAUGGAGCAACGCCGCGUGGGUGAAGAAGGUCUUCGGAUCGUAAAACCCUGUUGUUAGAGAAGAAAGUGCGUGAGAGUAACUGUUCACGUUUCGACGGUAUCUAACCAGAAAGCCACGGCUAACUACGUGCCAGCAGCCGCGGUAAUACGUAGGUGGCAAGCGUUAUCCGGAUUUAUUGGGCGUAAAGAGAACGCAGGCGGUCUUUUAAGUCUGAUGUGAAAGCCUUCGGCUUAACCGGAGUAGUGCAUUGGAAACUGGGAGACUUGAGUGCAGAAGAGGAGAGUGGAACUCCAUGUGUAGCGGUGAAAUGCGUAGAUAUAUGGAAGAACACCAGUGGCGAAAGCGGCUCUCUGGUCUGUAACUGACGCUGAGGUUCGAAAGCGUGGGUAGCAAACAGGAUUAGAUACCCUGGUAGUCCACGCCGUAAACGAUGAAUACGAAGUGUUGGAGGGUUUCCGCCCUUCAGUGCUGCAG
This 729-nucleotide ribosomal RNA is filed under the name uncultured bacterium. Its description in RNAcentral is "bacterial SSU rRNA". It matches the Rfam family "Bacterial small subunit ribosomal RNA", at positions 136 to 851 of the family's 1533-position model. The record is from RNAcentral.